This 2224-nucleotide long non-coding RNA is filed under the name Oncorhynchus kisutch (coho salmon). RNAcentral describes it as "lncRNA (ENSOKIG00005027599.1)". The record is from RNAcentral. Lineage: Eukaryota; Metazoa; Chordata; Actinopteri; Salmoniformes; Salmonidae.
CUCUCGACACAGUUGUCCUCACAUAUUAAGGCUCUGGUGGGAUUAGCUGCUGGAAUCUCCUGCAUUUGUUUUGUUUUCUCACAGGGGCGAAAGCGAGAAGGAGGGAGGGAGAGAGAGCGAAACGGUGGGAGGGAGGGAGGGAAAGAAGGUGGGUGUGAAAGACAAGAUGUGUUUGUGGUCUCUUUACCACAUGUCCCACAUUGCUAACGUCCGUAGCGUGAGGUAUGCGCUUGCAUACGUUUCUGCUCUGACUCUCGGAAUUGGCCAGAAUCUUUGAAAUGUCUGGAUCUUUUUUUCUCCUCGCAUCCUCUUUUUGUCAUGCUGGCCUUCCACUGACCAGCGAUGUAUUAUGUCUUAAACCCCUGAAAAGUUUCAAACCAGGAGGGAUUUCACACAGGAAAUAGUUCCAGUGGAGGUGUUGUGCGGUUGGACUGGGACUGAACUGAGGGUUGGUGUUGCUAACCAAGAACAGAGGGGAGGACUCAGAGAAAGAGAAAAAGAGUGAGGAAGAGAGAGAGAGAGAGAGCUGGCAAUGUGGUCUUCAGGAGCAUCGGCAGCCAAGUGGGCAUCAAGACACAAGACAGAACAAAUUAAGGUCACAGCGGGAACAUCCAAGCCAGAAAACCACAGGAGGGCAGAGCACAGUGACUCACCUGGAGCCUGUUGUGUUGGACCCAUCACAUGUUCUGUAAAAGGGAGCCGUUGGGAGGAUCUAUUUCAGAUCACUUUGAGGUGUAAUAGCUCAAUCUCACAGCACAGGGCACUUACAGGUCUCCUGUCUCACUCUUGCCGCGGGUCAAAGGAAGGGAAGGACUCUACCGAAUGCCAAUAAAGCCUGCAGCAGGGUGACCUUGACAGCAGGUAACCUCACAGGGUGCUCCUGCUGCGACACGGGCACAAAGGAGGUGUGUGUUUUGUGUUCGCGUGUCUUUGUGUGUGUGUGUGUGUGUGCAAUCCAUCACUGCAGGGCUACAGCAGGGUGACCUUGACAGCAGGGAACCUCACAGGGUGCUCCUUCUACUGCCACGACACGGGCACAAAGGAGGUGUGUGUGUGUGUUGAUACAGUAACAGCAGAGGACCGAACACCACACAGAGACCAAGUCCAGCAGGUCGUGUUGGUGUGGCGAUGAUGACGCAGGCGAAGAAGUCCAUGGUCAUCAAUGAUUUAUCUCCCUGUGUUGUGAUGCGAGGGGGGGGGGGGGGUGAAGCUGCGCUCUAUGACAGAUGUGGAGGGGUAUGCAUGGUGCAGAAUGAACUCCGUCUCCUUCUCAUCCCGCCCGGAGCUUCACUGAUGCUCUGUUACCCUUCAAUUGCCCCUCUGUUGUCUCCGGUCUCCCGACAUUACCCCGUCACCGCCCGAGCUCAUAAAGCCACAUUCUCUCGUUCUCUCUUCUCCUUUUUUCUCGCACUUACUCUUUCAUAGCUGCAUUUACCUAUUCUUUUAUCCUCCCCUUUGCCUACCUGUUCUCUCUCUCUAUCUCUUCCUAUCUCUCUCUCUCUCUCUCUUUCUCUCUCUCUCUCUCAGCCUCUCAGCCUCUCAGCCUCUAUAAUUUUUCAGAAACAAUCAGUGGAGUUUCCAUUUCACUGCCCAGCACUGCCGCAGUCUGAGACGUGGUACUGGGAUGGAGGGAGGAGGGAGGAAUAGAGGGAGCAACGCCACAUCUGCCUGUCCUCGAAUGGAAGAGGGAUGCAUACACACAGACAUGCGCACACAAAGCCACACACACACACAUACAAGCCACACAGACACAGGUAACUACCAAAGUAAUGAAAACACAAGUAAAUGAGGGCUACAAAGUAUAUUGAAAGCAGGUGCUUCCCCACAGGUGUGGUUUUUGAGCUAAUUACAGUUUACCCCAAUUGUUAACACACGUUUGCUGAAACAACUUCUCAGGCUCUCAAAACUCUAAACACAAAACAUAAAACAGUUUUCCCCAAACCCCACAGACAUCUUGCAAUAUGAAACACAGCAAUCAAAAUCAUGUACUCCCUGCUCAAAAUGAAACUCUGCAUACAAAUGAGACACACACACACACUAACUUAGUGACAACCGAGAUCACACUAAUGUGAUAUAUUGAAAACACUGCUAUCAGAACCUAUUUCAGUGUAAAGACUAAGAUUGUGUUCUUAUACUGUAUACUGUUUGUGUUUACUCUAACAAGAAAGGAACACAAAUGCAAAAUUUUUUGUUUCAAAUCUCAACAUGACUUAAUAUAUGUCAA